This 513-nucleotide ribosomal RNA is filed under the name uncultured bacterium. RNAcentral's name for it is "partial 16S ribosomal RNA". It matches the Rfam family "Bacterial small subunit ribosomal RNA", at positions 28 to 523 of the family's 1533-position model. The record is from RNAcentral.
GAUGAACGCUGGCGGUGUGCCUAAUACAUGCAAGUCGAACGCGCAGCGAAAGGUGCUUGCACCUUUCAAGCGAGUGGCGAACGGGUGAGUAACACGUGGAUAACCUGCCUCAAGGCUGGGGAUAACAUUUGGAAACAGAUGCUAAUACCGAAUAAAACUUAGUAUCGCAUGAUACAAAGUUAAAAGGCGCUACGGCGUCACCUAGAGCUGGAUCCGCGGUGCAUUAGUUAGUUGGUGGGGUAAAGGCUUACCAAGACGAUGAUGCAUAGCCGAGUUGAGAGACUGAUCGGCCACAUUGGGACUGAGACACGGCCCAAACUCCUACGGGAGGCUGCAGUAGGGAAUCUUCCACAAUGGGCGCAAGCCUGAUGGAGCAACGCCGCGUGUGUGAUGAAGGCUUUCGGGUCGUAAAGCACUGUUGUAUGGGAAGAAAUGCUAAAAUAGGGAAUGAUUUUAGUUUGACGGUACCAUACCAGAAAGGGACGGCUAAAUACGUGCCAGCCGCCGCGGUAA